UGAGGAAUAUUGGGCAAUGCCCGCAAGGGUGACCCAGCAACGCCGCGUGGAGGAUGAAUGUCGUAAGAUUGUAAACUCCUGUUAGAGGGGAAGAAUAGUACCGGUUGGACCGGUAUAUGACUGUACCCUCAGAGAAAGCCCCGGCUAACUACGUGCCAGCAGCCGCGGUAAUACGUAGGGGGCAAGCGUUGUCCGGAAUUACUGGGCGUAAAGCGCGCGUAGGCGGUCCACCAAGUCGGGGGUGAAAGCCCGGGGCUCAACCCCGGAAUGUCCUCCGAGACUGUUGGACUGGAGUUCGGGAGAGGAGAGCGGAAUUCCCAGUGUAGAGGUGAAAUUCGUAGAUAUUGGGAAGAACACCGGUGGCGAAGGCGGCUCUCUGGCCCGCAACUGACGCUGAGGCGCGAAAGCGUGGGGAGCAAACA
Molecule: ribosomal RNA, 422 nt
Filed under: uncultured bacterium
Lineage: Bacteria
Description: bacterial SSU rRNA
Rfam family: Bacterial small subunit ribosomal RNA
Source: RNAcentral